AAAUUUCUUUUUACCAUUGUAUAAUAUAAUAAUAUAAAUUCACGAGGUUGAUUUUUUAUGCAUUAUUGUCCUAAAGGUUAUUCCUUCCAAUUUCUUGCUCAUAAGUUGAAUCUAUAAUUUCAUUAGGAUGAAUUAUUAUACGUUAUUAUCCUGAAGAGCUUGCUUUCCAAUUUCUUGCUCAUUAGUUGAAUUUAUAAGCGUAAAUCAUUAUUGAACAAAAGUAAGUGUGUAAUUUAUCUUAACCGACUGUAAAAAGGAAUGUUAGCAUGAUACAAUAUUUAUUUCAAUACUUCGUUCAUAAUAAAAUCAUGCAUAAUAAAGUAAUUGUAUCAUUUAUGUCACUGUAAUGAAAAAUAUUACAUAUAAUUUUAAAUUAUAAGCAUAUUUUAGACUAUCCUAUCAAGAUUUAGUUUUAAAUUCUUUUACUGAAGUUUUCUUUGUUUACGAUUUAUAGAUAUAUAUCAAAUCAAUUAAAAUAAAUAAUUUCCUGUCCCAAAUAGUAAAAUGGAAAAUUGUUAUGUUUGGCUCUGAACAUAAAGCUUGUGAAAACUCAAAAUUUGCCAAUAUAAUAUUACAUAGAAUUCAUUAAUAUUUUAAAAGAGAUAAUUUGCAUAAAAAAAAAUCUUUUCCCUUUCUUAUUUGAGACAAAACAAUAUUAGUAUUAAGAAUUAUAACAUUUAUAUAAUAGCUCUCGCGCUGUCCCUAUUCCUUAUGUCAUCUCCAGGACACUUGAAUAUAUGUACUCCACCAAUUGUCUUACCCCUACUAAGCAAUUCCCUAUAACUAUCAAAUGGUUCCCCCAAAACCAAGAUGGUAUCAAACUCAACUUUGAUGGUGCUUUCCCGGCCAACACUACUCAGGGUGGUAUUGGUGGUGUUUUCCGGGAUAAGAACGCUAACUGGGUCGCGGGAUACUACCAAUGCACUAGUAGGCUCAACUCUACCCAUAUGGAGAUUCAAGGCCUCCUUGAGGGUCUCCGUCUGGUCCUUCAUGAGGAAUCUGGGGAAUCCUCCAAUCCGCCAUAACUUUAGAUAAGGGAAUAGGGUGGCUCAUGUUCUAGCAACUGAACGUUCAAAGAGAGCCACCUCUGAGCAAAUGCAUUUUUUGUUGGAAGCCCCUCCUUGGAUAAACAACAUCUUGCAGGAGGACAAAAAUGGUCGUUUUAGUAUUAGGU
Lycium barbarum (goji berry) is the source of this 1174-nucleotide RNA transcript. RefSeq lists it as uncharacterized. The record is from RefSeq and is a predicted model, not a curated record. Lineage: Eukaryota; Viridiplantae; Streptophyta; Magnoliopsida; Solanales; Solanaceae. The transcript has 2 exons.